RNAcentral lists this ribosomal RNA (609 nucleotides) under uncultured bacterium. RNAcentral's name for it is "bacterial SSU rRNA". It matches the Rfam family "Bacterial small subunit ribosomal RNA", at positions 338 to 946 of the family's 1533-position model. The record is from RNAcentral.
CCUACGGGAGGCAGCAGUAAGGAAUAUUGGUCAAUGGACGAAAGUCUGAACCAGCCAUGCCGCGUGAAGGAUGAAGGCCCUCUGGGUUGUAAACUUCUUUUACAGGGGACGAAAAAAGGGAAUUCUUUCUCACUUGACGGUACCCUGGGAAUAAGCACCGGCUAACUCCGUGCCAGCAGCCGCGGUAAUACGGAGGGUGCAAGCGUUAUCCGGAUUCACUGGGUUUAAAGGGUGCGUAGGUGGGUCUGUAAGUCAGCGGUGAAAUCUCCGGGCUUAACCCGGAAACUGCCAUUGAUACUAUAGAUCUUGAAUUGUCUGGAGGUAAGCGGAAUAUGUCAUGUAGCGGUGAAAUGCUUAGAUAUGACAUAGAACACCAAUUGCGAAGGCAGCUUACUACGGAUUGAUUGACACUGAGGCACGAAAGCGUGGGGAUCAAACAGGAUUAGAUACCCUGGUAGUCCACGCCCUAAACGAUGGAUACUCGACAUUCGUGAUAUACUAUAAGUGUCUGAGCGAAAGCAUUAAGUAUCCCACCUGGGAAGUACGACCGCAAGGUUGAAACUCAAAGGAAUUGACGGCUGAGACGNGCGAGACGACGACGAGGAGAGG